This 400-nucleotide ribosomal RNA is filed under the name uncultured bacterium. Its description in RNAcentral is "bacterial SSU rRNA". It matches the Rfam family "Bacterial small subunit ribosomal RNA", at positions 355 to 747 of the family's 1533-position model. The record is from RNAcentral.
UGGGGAAUUUUGGACAAUGGGCGAAAGCCUGAUCCAGCAAUGCCGCGUGUGCGAAGAAGGCCUUCGGGUUGUAAAGCACUUUUGUCAGAGAAAAAAAUACUUAUGAUAAUACCAUGAGUUUAUGAUGGUAUCUGAAGAAUAAGCACCGGCUAACUACGUGCCAGCAGCCGCGGUAAUACGUAGGGUGCAAGCGUUAAUCGGAAUUAUUGGGCGUAAAGCGUGCGCAGGCGGUUAUAUAAGAUAGAUGUGAAAUCCUUGGGCUCAACCUGAGAACUGCAUUUAUGACUGUAUAACUAGAGUGUGUCAGAGGGGGGUAGAAUUCCACGUGUAGCAGUGAAAUGCGUAGAGAUGUGGAGGAAUACCGAUGGCGAAGGCAGCCCCCUGGGAUAACACUGACGCU